CCUACGGGUGGCUGCAGUAGGGAAUAUUGCUCAAUGGGGGAAACCCUGAACCAGCAACGCCGCGUGAAGGAUGAAGGUUUUCGGAUUGUAAACUCCUUUUUUUAGAGAAGAUAAUGACGGUAUCUAACGAAUAAGCACCGGCUAACUCCGUGCCAGCAGCCGCGGUAAUACGGAGGGUGCAAGCGUUACUCGGAAUCACUGGGCGUAAAGCGCGCGUAGGCGGGAUAGCAAGGCAGAUGUGAAAUCCUAUGGCUUAACCAUAGAACUGCAUUUGAAACUGGUAUUCUAGAGUUUGGGAGAGGUAGGUGGAAUUCGUGGUGUAGGGGUAAAAUGCGUAGAGAUCAAGCAGAAUACUGAUUGCGAAGGCGACCUGCCAGAACAUAACUGACGCUGAUGCGCGAAAGCGUGGGGAGCAAACAGGAUUAGAUACCCGUGUAGUC
This 440-nucleotide ribosomal RNA is filed under the name uncultured bacterium. RNAcentral's name for it is "partial 16S ribosomal RNA". It matches the Rfam family "Bacterial small subunit ribosomal RNA", at positions 338 to 795 of the family's 1533-position model. The record is from RNAcentral.